GCCAAACCUUAGGUGAGAAAAUAAUUUACUCAUAGACUUUCAAAAGUUCACAAAAUAUUUAUCGAAAGUUUGCAAAAGGAUUAAAAACUAAAUCACUUUGGCAAACACGGCCUCAUGGUGGGAGUGAUUUUAACGCAAAGCCUUCGCAGACCGCUAAGAAUUCCAUUGAAGCCACCUUCUUCUAUGUUAAUGUUUCGUUUCAUCGAGGUCUCAAUUUCGAUCUGCCCCGCGUUUCUCUCUUCAAAUUCGUUGAGAAUCGCUUGAUUCAGGAGUAUGUAACAUAUAGAAAGUCUUUGUAUUGAACACGCUUUAAAAGCGUUUAAUCUUUAUCGUGAAAAAUGGGGAUCAAUGUUCAGCCAUAUUCAUGUAUCGCUGCUAAUUUUGCCGAUUAUGCUGGUCUCCUUUUACCAGUAGAAAAAUUAUGGGUCUAGAUUCACGAUCGGGAGGCCAUUAGUCAUGGUUUUUAUGCUCCGGGCGGGAAAAAGGUUUCGGCUGCUUCUAUAUUUUGUGGGAGUUUUCCAUAUAAAGUGAAUCCACAAACUUGUUUGGUUUAUCAUGAUAAACUGAAGGAGAAGGCCAUGGUUAUGAGCCCAAGAUUUUGAUUUGUGGUGGGAGUUCAUAUCCUAGAGCUUGGGACUAUGGGAGGUUUAGGCCGAUUGCAGAAGUCUGACACUGUUCUUAUUUGUGGUAUGUCUCAUAUAAGUGGGCUUUUGGCAGCUAAGAAUAUGAUACUGCUUGGCAGAGGUAAGAAUACACAUCCUCCUGUCUACAGUUACAUUUUCUGGAAGCUGAAAAUUGUCUAAGUUUGCUGAUAUGAUCUUAUAAUCUCCUAGAAGUGAAAUUUUCACGGAUAAUGGGAUUUCAUAUCACAAAAUGUUUGAAGUUCAGGACCUUAGAUACACUACAAGUCAUGCUUAAAUCUGGAAUGAAUUUUUCCGUCAGUUUUUCUCAAAUGCCAUGUUCCUCAAAAUUUCUUUCAAGUAGUUAUUCUAGGUAACAGGUGAAGAAUUUCUAUCAUAAUUUCCAAUUUUGACAUUUUUUGUUGAAUUGCUUAUGUCGAUACUGUUUUAUUGAUACUCUUUAGGAAAAGGAGGCUGGAUGAGGUUUGUCUUGAAAGGUUUCAGCAAUAUUGUUGAGCACAGUCUUGGAUUUUACAAGGGUUGCUAACAGGCAAAACAACUUCUCAUUCGCAAGUUGUAUUGGUAGGCCUCUCUCCCCCUUUCAAUUUUAAGCAUAUUUUUGCUAGCUCUGCCCCCUUCCUUGAGCUGCUCUUCAUUCCCAUCCUUCACGACAUGAUUCUGCAGAAUUUCAAAUGAAGAACCUGUCAAUGGGAUAAGAAAAUACAUAACCAAACUUCUCUGCUCCUAUGUCUUGUCAAACAAAAGUUCCUUGUUACCUGUCAUUAGCUCCAAACGCUAUGAUAACUCCAAAACUGUACACCAUUUUGUUUGCUGUAUCAAAAAAACUAAAUAAUCCUGAUUGUUAUUAAUGGUACUCAUGGUUCCAAGUUAAGAAUUCAAA
This is an RNA transcript of Mangifera indica (mango), 1521 nucleotides long. RefSeq lists it as uncharacterized. Lineage: Eukaryota; Viridiplantae; Streptophyta; Magnoliopsida; Sapindales; Anacardiaceae. The transcript is spliced from 4 exons. The record is from RefSeq and is a predicted model, not a curated record.